Long non-coding RNA from Carassius carassius (crucian carp), 1388 nucleotides. RefSeq lists it as uncharacterized. NCBI's taxonomy places the organism in Eukaryota, Metazoa, Chordata, Actinopteri, Cypriniformes, Cyprinidae. The transcript is spliced from 4 exons. The record is from RefSeq and is a predicted model, not a curated record.
GUCUGUUGGGUCAUUUUGGUGGGGUAAUUUAUUUCUUUUUUAACACUUUUGGGUAGUUUCAAUUUACCGGGUGUUGGGUUAAACCUGCUGGGCUGCGUCGCUGGGUUGUUUCAGGCCAGCGCUGGGUUAUUUAACGCGCCUUGAAGAUGUUUAAAUCGCUCCCCAACUGUCAUUUUGGAAGAACAACGGGGCAAAGCCACGGCUUUCAACUGUUUUAAGAAAAGCACAUGGAUACAUUUGUGAGAGGAAAAACUCGUCGAGUGCAGUCUUAUUGAGGCGUCUAACGGUUGGAACAAACAUGUAAUUCCUUAACCGAGCAGAGUCCACAAAACCCCAUCCAAUUGUUGUGGCGAUUUAAAAAUGCCAGCAGAUCUCUCAGGCAUUGAUCACAAUCAAUGGACAGGUCACCGUAGCCACCCGUAUCCAGUAUGUAUCCAGAUCAGAGGGUCACUGCAGACACCCGUAUCCAGUACGUAUCCAAACCAGAUGGAGAUCAGCAUUUAGAAAGGACUUCUACAUCCCUGAAAGACAGCGGAGACCAGGACAACUAGAGCCCCAGAUACAGAUCACCUGUAAAGACCUUGUCUCAGACGACCACCAGGACAAGACCACAUGAAACAGAUGAUUCUUCUGCACAAUCUGACUUUGCUGCAGCCUGGAAUUGAACUGCUGGUUUCGUCUGGUCAGAGGAGAACUGGCCCCCAACUGAACCUGGUGUCUCCCAAGGUUUUUUUCUCCAUUCUGUCAGCGAUGGAGUUUUGGUUCCUUGGUUUUCCUUAGUUGGGGACAAUUAAUAUCAAGCAAUACCAUCGACUUGAUUGCACAGAGGGACGGACAAUACAUCACUGAAUCAAUGAUGAACUGACUUUAACUGAAAACUGAGUGUUUACUUUUGUCCCUUUGCAUUAUUACACACUAUUUUCCUAUUUAAUACUGUAAAGCUGCUAUGAUGCAGUAUUUGUUCAAUAUGACAGGCUUAUUACUCAUAAUACAUGGAAAUACAGCUGCAAUACAGCUGCAAACGGACUUUGCUUUUCCAUUUGAAAUUUGGCAGUCACUGUGCAUUCAUGAAAACUGAAACAGUAAUUUUUGUUUAGUGUUUUUGAAACUUUUGAAAGAUUUGCAAUUGUGUUUGGAUUUUCACAAUUUGUCACAUGUGGAAAACGCAAUUGAAAAUAUAAUUUGCAGUUCCUUUUAAAAAUUGCUCGUCCGUAGACAGGCUCUAUAGCAGAGUACACUGCUCUCAGGUGUAGAUCUUUGCUUCAAAGCUUAAGUGUUUGACAAUAGUUCACCUAAAAAUGAAAAUUGUCAUUAAUUAUACACCCUGGUCUGAAAGCUCUCGAAUUUCAUUGAAAAUAUCUUAACUUGUGUUCUGAAGAUGAACGAAG